This 6841-nucleotide long non-coding RNA is filed under the name Brassica rapa (field mustard). Its description in RNAcentral is "long non-coding RNA (BRAP_LNC003993)". The record is from RNAcentral. Lineage: Eukaryota; Viridiplantae; Streptophyta; Magnoliopsida; Brassicales; Brassicaceae.
AAUAAAAAAAAGUUUAUUACUUUGUAAUUGGUCAGAAAAUUAAAAUGAUAUUAAAUUUUACCUAGAAUAUGAGAACAUCAAUUAUUUUGAAACAAAUUUUUUUUCUCUAAACACCACUUAAAGUGAUACGGAGUGUGUAUUUUGUAACCAGUUCAAAUUAAGCGCUUAAAUAAUGAUUUGUUUGUUUCUAAUGGAAAUUGAAUCCAGUUUAUAGUGGAUCAUCCCAAUGAAUAUAUCACAUCUGUUGGUGGGAGCUAUGAUAUUGUUCGAACAUACUAUCAAUCACUCCUGAUCAAAUCACUAAUCUUUAAGACCAACACUGGAAGAGCAUCUCCAGUGCUCGGUGGGACAACAGAAUCGGGACAACCAGCUGGGACAGAAUUCACCUUGGAGGGUAAGUAUGGAGAAAAGCUUCUUGGAUUCUUUGGACGUGCUGGUCAAGCUCUUGAUGCCAUUGGAGCUUACUUGGGACCCUGGGUGGUAACAAGGGAAACAAAUUCGACGAUGGUAUUCUCGACGGUGUUAAAAAAGUAACUGUUGCAGCGGGUGAGUACAGUGUAACUUAUAUAAAGAUCGAAUACGAAAAUAAUGGAAAAGAUGAAGUCCGUGAACACGGGACAAACCGGGGGGAGUUAAAAGAGGUCAAAACAUAUAAAAUUAUGUUUGUUGAAUCUAGUUAAUAUUUAGUUGCAUUACUAUUAUUUCAUUGUUUCUAAUGGAAAAAUGAAAUACAGUUCUCGGUAAACUAUCCGGAAGACAAUAUUGUCUCCGUUGGUGGAACCUACAAUCAUAUCUUCAACUAUGAUACAACGCUUAUCACAUCUUUGUACUUCACCACCUCCAAGGGAUUUACCUCACCAUUGUUUGGUGUGGCCAAGGGUAAAGACUUCGAGCUCCAAGGUGAAAGUGGAGAAAAGCUUCGUGGAAUUUAUGGACGUGGUGGUACUGCCAUCGAUGCCAUUGGGGCUCACUUCGGACCGCUUGGUGGUAACAAGGGUAACACAUUCGACGAUGGUUUUUUCGAUGGUGUGAAAAAAUUAACCAUUGGAGCAGAUGAGUACAGUAUAGUUUAUAUGAAGAUCGAAUACCAAAAGGAUGGAAAGGUCAUAGUCCGUGAACAUGGGACGUUUGACGGGAUUCUAAAAGAGGUCAAAACAUAUAAAAUUUGUUUGUUGAAUUUCGUUAACAUUCAGCUGCUUCGCGCUAUUAAUUGAUUCUUUAUAGUUAAAAAAAUGAAAUACAGUUCUCGGUGAACUAUCCGGAAGACAAUAUUGUAGCUGUUGGUGGAAGCUACAAUCAUAUUUUCAAAUAUGAUACAACGCUUAUCACAUCGUUGUACUUCACAACCUCUAAGGGAUUUACCUCUCCAUUAUUUGGUGUGAAAAAAGGAAAAGACUUCGAGCUCAAAGGUGAAAAUGGAGGAAAGCUUCUUGGAAUUUAUGGACGUGAUGGUACUGCCAUUGAUGCCAUUGGGGCUCACUUCGAGACUGGUUCUGGUUAAAAAAUCGCCGGUUUUCAUGGGGUCCAUUAUCGCCAAUUCAGGCUUGCCAUUUAAUUGCUUUUUCUUUGAUUACAUAAAAUAAGGCCAUCCGAAGUCUGCUUUUACCAUGCUUGUGUGUUUGUGUGUGUUUUAAUAAAAACUAGAUUUUGACCCGCGCAGGCGCGCGGGUGUAUAUUUUGAAAAAUAUGUUGAUAUUUGUUUUUCAUGUAAUUAUUAGGAUUUGGAAAAAUGAAUCCGAGGAACAUAACCGAUACCGAUCCAAAGAUAUAGUACCAAACCCAAACAUAAAUUGAUUAAAUAUUCUAAUUAUUCAAAAUUUUGUUAUUUAGAGAACCGAAUCUGAUCCGAACCGAAGUAUUUAGGUAUCCGAAUUUAUCUAAAAAUAGAUUUAUAUACUUAUAUAUAUUAAUUAUUUUUAGAUUUAACGUAUAUAAAACAUCAAAAAUGAUACUUUUAAAUUGAUUUAAAUACUUGAAAAUAUAUAUAGAUAGUCAAAAGUAAAUAUCUGAAAUAGUUAAAGUAUACUCAAAUCACCAAAAAUACUUAAAAUAAUUAUUGAUUUCGUAUCCAAAAUUUUAAAUCAAGCCAAUUGAUAUGUUAAGUUUAAGUAUUAUGACAUAUGUUAUUCAAAUUUAUACGUAAUAUAUUAUUUUAUUUAUACAUUUUGAGAAAUUUAAAAUAUAUAAUGAUUUAAGACUUUAAAAAUAAUUUAAAUUAGUUAUCCAAACCCAAACCAAACCCGCAAAGAUCCAAAUCGAACUCAAACCAAAAUUUAGAAACAUUCUAAUAAGGCUGAAAUCUUUGACCCCGAAAACCCAAAAUACAAACCGAUCAGAACUAAACCCGUAUGGGUAUCCAAAAGCCCAUCCCUAGUCAUUAUUAUAUAUCGUAUUUUAUCAUCAUAUAAUUAAUCGUAUUUUAUAUGUACCAUCAUAUAAGUAAUCAUAUAAUUAAUAGUAUUUUAUACAUACCAUCAUAUAAAUAAUUACAUAUAUUAUAUUUUUAAAACUUAAUAUGAAAUAUGAAAACCAUAAUUUGAGUUGGUAUUUCAAAUUGGGCUUUGUAUUAUAUUUUUCUUAUAUAUAUUGACAAUAUUUUUUUAUAAUGGUUAUUGAAAAAUAGUUUAGUAAAAAUCCAUUUUUGAAUAUAUGUAUAUUUUUGAAUCAAUUUUUGAUAUAAAUCAAAUUUGAAUUAUUAUUUUGAUUUGAAAUAUGUAUAUAAAGUUUAAAUUUUGUUUUAUGGUUAGUUUAGAAAAAAAAAAUUUAGGGAAUUAGAUUGACCCAUUUUGGUAUAUUUUAAAAGUGGCCUAGAUAACUUUCAAUUUUUUAAAAAAACAUAAGCCCAUUACUUUUUUUCUUAAUACUACUAUCCUUGUUUUCAAACAAAAAUAUUUUUUUUUAAAAGACUGCAAUCCAUGUUUCCAAACACUCCAAAUUUUUAAAAGUCCUAUUCAAGUCUCCAAACACUCCAAUUUUGUACUUGAGUUUUAAUAAGAUAGAUGUGAAAUUUUUUGUUUGUUGGUAAAAUGUUAAAUUUAUACCAUUUUCUAAGAUUUAUAAAUGUUGCAUACAACUUAUUUCUGCAAGAAAGAAACUAAAAAACAACCUACUACUAGCGCGGACGAACCUCAUGGAGGUCUAGUACACAAAAAAUAGAACUGCAGCAACGAUGGUGACUGGUCUGGAAACGGGAAGGAGAUGAGUCUGUCCCGGAGUAGACGAUCCAAAGCAUGACAGAAACCAGCAGCAGAAGUGGAGGUGGAAGUAAAGACCCGAGCAUUUCUUACCUCCAUAUAAGGUAGAUGGAAACUGGAAGAUGAGAUUGAUCACCGAGCCUGCUUUAGGAUCCAAACGUUGUCUGUGGAGUGAAUAUCUUAAUAAAUUGUUAUAUUUUAUAUUGGCACAACUAAAGACUGAUAAAAUUUAUUAAUUUAUUAUAUUUAUUUAUUGAAUAUUAAUUUAUAUAAUUUUUAAUGUAAUUAUAGAGCUGGCAAAAUUUUACUUGUCUGGGUUGCUAGAAGUUAGGAGUAUAUGAUUAAUUUGUAAAGUUAACAAAAUUAUUGUAAUGUGUUAAAGUUGAAUAUAUGUUGAAUAAUGAAGCAGAAGAAAGAGAAAAUAACAUAGACUAUGUUAAAAGAUGAAUGAAUGGUUUAAAUCUUGAAAAUACUGUAUAUAUAGUCUUAGUCAAAUAAUAUCUCAGAAAAGUAAAUAUUAAAGCAAAAAAAUAGUAUAUAGUUAUGGGCCUCAUUUAUAUACUCCCUCCGUUUCAGAAUAGAUGAUGUUUUAGAAAAUUGUUUUUGUUUCAAAAUAGAUGAUGUUUUGAUUUUUUUAUAUUAUCUUUAAUUUUACUGAAAACUGUGCAACCAAUCAGAUAUUGCAGUUAUUUAUGUAAUUGGUUGAAUGAGUUUUAAAUUAUAUUUUUAAGUUAUUUUUUUGAAAGAAAAGAGAUUUCUUAAUCUUUGUGCAUUAAGCCAAAAUAUCAUGUAUUGUAAAACAGAGGGAGUAUUUGCUAUAGGCCACAGCUUUAGGCCACAGUUACUAUAUAAGUAAAAAGGGACAGCACUAGUGGCUAUAAAAUAUUUACCAGAAAUAAGUCAUGUAUUUCGUACACGUGAUUCGUUAUAUGAUUGGUUUACGCAUUUCUUGCAACUUUUAAACUAUUUUAUUUUUUCAUUAUUAAAAGCAUUUCCAUUGUAAUUCAUAUUUUAUUUUAAAAUAGAAUAACUCCAUAAUAGAGUGUGGUUUAUUCUCUACUCAACUUUAAAGUAAAAAUAAAGUAAUGAACAUAAAAUAUAAUUCAUUUCUAAAAUAAAUGUAUUUUUACUUUAUUAUAGAAUAAAAAUAGAAUGAAAUUAGAACAUUUUUGAAAAUAGAAUAUGGUUGGAAAUGCUCUACAGAACUUUUACAUCUAUGUUUCAAUUAUCAAGUUUUAACACUUGUCAGAACUCAAAACACUUCUAGCCAUUUUUCUUUUUGAAACUAACUUUUAGCCAUUUCGAUUUUUGUUUUUUAACCUAAAGCAAAAAUAUUAAAGUAAGAACUUAUUUAUACACCAAUUAUUGAACUGUUACGAUCUUUUUUUUUAAACAAUAGAACUGUUACGAUCAAGACCUACAAAAAUUAGCCUUAUUCGGCUAGAUAUUUUAUUUGUGGUAGGAGAAAACUGAGAAGGACAAUUUUUUUUUUCUGUCAGCCAAACAUAGUUAAUAUACCCCACGUGACAAAUAAAUAGCCUUUGCUUUUUUUUUUUUUUUGUUCAAAUAAAUAGCCUUUGCUAACGGACAUUUUUAACCUUGUUUUCUUUUUAGAUAUUUUAUAUGGUGGGAGAAAAUUGAAAAGGACAUUCAUUUUUCUUUUAUUGUUUCGUCAGGAAUGGCAAAAAUGUUGAAUAUCCCCACGUGACAAAUAAAUAGCAUGAGCUAACCUUACCGCCAAAAUUGCUAUAAAUAUCAUACCAUUUGCUAUCCCCAACUCACUCUCAUCCUCAUCUUGCCAUUCAGGUACUCUCUCUCUCUCUCUCUCUCUCUCUCUCUCUCUCUCUCUCUCUCUCUCUCUAUUUUACUUUUUUCUUCCUUUGUUUUAUUACAUGUGAACUUAGUGUAGUUUGAAGUAACAAAAGACCAUUUUCUUUUGCUUCUCGAUUCAAUCUUUCAGGUUUUUGUAAAGGUAAUAAAAGGAAAUAAUGUCCAAAAAGGUGGGAGCAGUGGGUGGAUACUUGGGAGAAGCAUUCGAUGAUGGUGUUUUCGAUGGUGUGAAGAAAAUAGUUGUGUCAGUAGAGGGAGGUCUUUUUAACUGUAUAUCAAUGAUCAAGAUCGAAUAUGAAAAGGAUGGGAAACUUGAAUCCCGUCAACAUGGAACAAUUCGUGGGGAAUUAAAAGAGGUAACAUUUUGGGAAACUUUGUUAUAAAAAUAUUUUAUUACACACUUUUCGUCAAACGAAUACUCAUUUAUGUUAUUUAAAAAUAUUUUAAUAUUCAUAAUAUAACUCAAAAUAAAAAAUAAAAGUUAGUAUACAACAUAUUCAUUUUGAAAAUUUAUAACAAUAGACCAAAAGUAUACAUUAAAUUGAAUAUUUGAGUUCUUUUUUAUUCAUAUGUUAGAUGCUUAAUUGAAGUGUUUGAAGUAUCUCUAAAAGCAACAUUAAAACUUCAAAUAUAAAGUUUAUGUGUUCUUACUUCUUACACUUAUAUUUUUAAAAAUAAUUGUAUCAACUUUUUUCUUUUUUAUUUUAUCAUUUUAAUCCUUAUAAUUUCACAUCUCAUAAUUUUUUACAUAUAAUUUAACUAUCAUACCUAAAGUUUAAAUAUUAGAAUACUACUAAAAUUAUGUAAAUAUGAUUUAAAAUUUCCAAAACCUCAAAAACGUUAUCCAUAUAAUUUUGGUUUAAUCUAAAGGCAUUGUUUUCAAUGAAUUCAUUAUAUUAUUCUUCAUGUUCAAACUGAUAAAUUCAUAAAGAGUAUCAUUAUUGUCGAUUAUUAUUUAUUAUAAACGUUUUAUGAGUUUAAGAAGUUUUAAGCAAUUGUAAAGACCUAUAAAACUUUGAAAGUUCAAUAUAAGAUUUUGCUUUUGGAGAGGAACACCAUUAAACUUUAAAUUUGAGGCUUUUUCCAAACAUCAAAAUAAAGUUGUUUUUGAGAUGUUGUUAUUAUUAAUAUUUUAGAGUAUUUUUAAUACUUAUUCAGAAUUGGGUUUAGUAUGUUUUUGUUAGAUUUUUGAAAAAUUUAAAUUUUUCGAGUACUCAAAUGGAUUUGGAUUUCAUUCGGGUAAAACUUAAAACUUUAAAUAACUUUAAACAACUCAUUCGAAUAUUUAUGUUGAAUUCGGUUUUGUUCGGAAUCAUUUUUUUCUGGUUGGUUCAGUUUGAGUUUCAGGUUACCCUAACUAGGUCAACGAAAAUUGAAAAUCAAAUCAGGUGAUGGGAAAGUUUGAACGCCAGUGCCUGUGUAUUAUAUGAUUGACAUUUUCUCAACAAAAAUAUCGUUACUUCUUUAAUACCUUGUAACCAGUUCAAAUUAAACGCUUAAAUACUAAUGACUUGUUUGUUUCUAAUGGAAAUUAAAUCCAGUUUUCAGUGGAUUAUCCGAAUGAAUAUAUCACAUCUGUUGGUGGAAGCUAUGAUAGUGUUCGAUACUAUGAAGUACCGCUGAUCAAAUCACUAAUCUUUAAAACCAACACUGGAAGAACAUCUCCAAUACUCGGUGGAACAACAGAAUCUGGACAACCAGCUGGGACAGAAUUCACCUUGGAGGGCAAAUAUGGAGAAAAGCUUAUUGGUUUCUUUGGACGUGCUGGUCAAGCUCUUGAUGCCAUUGGAGCUAACUUCGGACCGCUAGGUGGUAAC